UGGCUCAGUUGGUAGAGCAUGGUGUUUGCAACGCCAGGGUUGUGGGUUGGAUUCCCAC
This is a non-coding RNA of Salmo salar (Atlantic salmon), 58 nucleotides long. The record is from Rfam. NCBI's taxonomy places the organism in Eukaryota, Metazoa, Chordata, Actinopteri, Salmoniformes, Salmonidae.